Non-coding RNA from Zea mays, 115 nucleotides. The record is from Rfam. Lineage: Eukaryota; Viridiplantae; Streptophyta; Magnoliopsida; Poales; Poaceae.
AGCAAUGAUGAAUCGCCCUUUGAAUUAGAUGUAGAUCACUCCAUGUCCCUGCGUUUCAGGGAGAACCUACUUGGGGUCCUACAUUGGAAUGAUAUAUAUGGGCUUUAACUGAGCU